GACGAACGCUGGCGGCGUGCUUAACACAUGCAAGUCGAACGGAAAGGCCCUGCUUUUGUGGGGUGCUCGAGUGGCGAACGGGUGAGUAACACGUGAGUAACCUGCCCUUGACUUUGGGAUAACUUCAGGAAACUGGGGCUAAUACCGGAUAGGAGCUCCUGCUGCACGGUGGGGGUUGGAAAGUUUCGGCGGUUGGGGAUGGACUCGCGGCUUAUCAGCUUGUUGGUGGGGUAGUGGCUUACCAAGGCUUUGACGGGUAGCCGGCCUGGGAGGGGUGACGGGCACAUUGGGACUGAGGGAGGGACCAGAAUGCUACGGGAGGCAGCAGGGGGGAGUAUUACAGAGUGGGCGGAAGCCUGAUGCAACAACGCUGCGUGCGGGAUGACGGCCUUCGGGGUGUAAACCGCUUUCGACUGUGACGAAGAGGGAGUGACGGUAAUGGGUAAGGAAGCACCGGCUAACUACGUG
This 468-nucleotide ribosomal RNA is filed under the name uncultured bacterium. RNAcentral's name for it is "partial 16S ribosomal RNA". It matches the Rfam family "Bacterial small subunit ribosomal RNA", at positions 28 to 507 of the family's 1533-position model. The record is from RNAcentral.